Long non-coding RNA from Sinocyclocheilus rhinocerous, 261 nucleotides. RefSeq lists it as uncharacterized. Lineage: Eukaryota; Metazoa; Chordata; Actinopteri; Cypriniformes; Cyprinidae. The record is from RefSeq and is a predicted model, not a curated record. The transcript is spliced from 2 exons.
GGAGGACUCCAUGAGCUCUGCCACCACGCUGAGCACGCCGCAGGAGCAGGUGGAUGAUCUGAUCCUGCAGAUCGCGGAGGAGAGCGGCCUGGAGGUGGAGGACCAGCUCAGUCAGCUGCCGGCGGGAGCCUCGUCACUGGGAGAGACGUCAGUGCGCUCGCAGGACAAAGAAGACCAGCUCUCCAGACGGUUGGCAGCUUUACGUAACUGAUGGCGUUCAGAGAUUCAAUCAAACCUUUCCUGCGUGGAGGACGCUGGUUU